GACGAACGCUGGCGGCGUGCUUAACACAUGCAAGUCGAACGGUAAGGCCCUUCGGGGUACACGAGUGGCGAACGGGUGAGUAACACGUGGGUGAUCUGCCCUGCACUUCGGGAUAAGCCUGGGAAACUGGGUCUAAUACCGGAUAGGACCACUGCCUGCAUGGGAGGUGGUGGAAAGCUUUUGCGGUGUGGGAUGGGCCCGCGGCCUAUCAGCUUGUUGGUGGGGUGAUGGCCUACCAAGGCGACGACGGGUAGCCGGCCUGAGAGGGUGACCGGCCACACUGGGACUGAGAUACGGCCCAGACUACUACGGGAGGCAGCAGUGGGGAAUAUUGCACAAUGGGCGCAAGCCUGAUGCAGCGACGCCGCGUGAGGGAUGACGGCCUUCGGGUUGUAAACCUCUUUCAGCACCGACGAAGCGCAAGUGACGGUAGGUGCAGAAGAAGGACCGGCCAACUACGUGCCAGCCGCCGCGGUAA
RNAcentral lists this ribosomal RNA (478 nucleotides) under uncultured bacterium. RNAcentral describes it as "partial 16S ribosomal RNA". It matches the Rfam family "Bacterial small subunit ribosomal RNA", at positions 28 to 523 of the family's 1533-position model. The record is from RNAcentral.